GAUAAACGCUGGCGGCGUGCCUAAUGCAUGCAAGUCGCACGGGGGUGUCCCUUCGGGGGCAUCGAGUGGCGAACGGGUGAGGAACGCGUGGACAACCUACCCCCGGCGUGGGGGGAUACCCGCCAAGAAAUGGACGGCUAAUACCCGCGUACGGUCCAUGGGGCGGAGGGCUCGUGGAAGAAAGCAGCGAUGCGCGCUGGGGAGGGGUCUGC
This 212-nucleotide ribosomal RNA is filed under the name uncultured bacterium. Its description in RNAcentral is "partial 16S ribosomal RNA". It matches the Rfam family "Bacterial small subunit ribosomal RNA", at positions 28 to 234 of the family's 1533-position model. The record is from RNAcentral.